Non-coding RNA from Callithrix jacchus (white-tufted-ear marmoset), 9271 nucleotides. The record is from RefSeq and is a predicted model, not a curated record. Lineage: Eukaryota; Metazoa; Chordata; Mammalia; Primates; Cebidae.
GUGGAAUUAUACCCACCUUCUGCUGUGGGAGAUGCAGACCAGACCUAAUUCAGACCCAUCUGGGUUUUGGGUCAGGACCCUGGAAGAUUAAGGAAAGAAAUAAAUUGUCUCAUGGUCGCAUGUUUCCAGAUACAAAAGGAGGACCUGAGGGAUCUAAGGCUUAAGAGAAGCAGCCUGACAUGUCCUAGGUCAUAGAGCCGGUCAGUGGAAGGGGAGAGAUUCAAACUAGAACCUCAUGAACUCCCAUCCAUUACACACGGAAAUUUUGCCUGGAGAGCAGGCCCAGGCUGUUACUGGAGCAGUGGAAGAAGAGCUGCCAGGUCGCAGGAGGACAAGAGCAGUGCUUUCUCCAAAUCUUAACAGGAGUAAACAGCGUGAGGGAGAGCUAGUAUUCCUGUGGUAGAAGCUGAAGACAAAGUAAAAGUAAUUAAUUAAUGGGAAAAAUAAACAACUGGACUCAGCCAGAGAAAAAAGACAGUUAACACCCCAACACCCAAGGCAACCUAGAACAGUCUAUGUAAUCUAGCCCUCUGCUGUCAGCUCCAUCUACCAUCAGGUGCCCCAUUAUUCAUGGGGCUCCACCUUGUAUUCCAGUUGUUCCUCAAACAUUUUGUAUCUUUUCUCUCUGAGGGAUUCAGCUCUUGGUAUUUGCUUUGCUCUGAAAUCUCUUCCAUAGAUCUUCACGAUGGCUGCUUGUCUUAGGUCUUAGUUCAUUCAAAUAUCACUCUCUCAGAGAAACCUUUCCUGACCUCCACUAUAUACAUGGAGGGUAUCCAGAGUCAAUGAAGGUAUUGAACAAAUGGGCUGGAUAAAACUGAAAACAGGGUGCUCUGCUUGGUUUUUUAGAAAAAUGGAAAUAGAGGCCUCACACAUGGAGGUAACAUACCUGAGGUUAUCCAGUAGAUCUGGACUCGAGUCUACAUGUGCUGCUCUGCAGAGUUUGACACAGAGGGACAGAGUCUGCAAAUGGACCUCUUGCUAUUAACUACUGUGCACCUAUGCUUUGUUAUCAAUGAAAUGUGUGUAGCUUUUGUUUCCUGGCCUUGGGGAGUAUCCUUAAAUCUUUCAUCGUUUAGUUUCUUCAUCUGAGGUUAACAAUAUAUUUAUUUUAAAAAGCUAUAGAAACUGGGAAGAAACAUUUGCAAUUUAUAGCACAAAGAAUUAAUAACCAUAAUAUGUAAAGAGCUUCAAAAAACACAGAAGAAAAAGGCCAACGUAUCUAUGAAAAAUUGGUUGGAAAUAUGAGCAGAGAGUUCACAGAAAAAGAAAGGAAAAUGGCUCUUAAAUAUAUGAAAAGACACUCAACCUUACUUACAACAAAUACUUUAAAACUUCAUUGAGAUAGAAUUUUCUCUCCUGUCAGACUGCCAAGAAUCUAAAAGAUUUCUGUUUAUGUGUCUGUCUCCCCAACUAGACUGAUUGCUCCAGCAAAGGCAAGAACCAUGCCAUUUAAACUUUCUAUUCUUUAAGUCCUUGAUGCUGGUUGCGGACUAUUUUGAACUCUCUGCUUCUGGGUAUGUGGUAGGAUUGUACCUCCUGACACCCUGAGGACAUCUGGCUGGUUCUAGCCAACUAGUUCUGUGUGAGUGUGAUUGAGUGCGAUUUGUGCCAACCCUGGGUCAGAGAAGCUAACUGUCAGAGGGAGACCUUCCCUUGGCUGACCAGCACUGUAGAGCAGUGAGUCCUCUGUCAUGCUAGACCUCCAGUGGGAAUGAUGGAGAUGAAGAACAGUUUGCCAGCCAAUCCAUGCUGCAUGUUCAGCAUGACUGUGAAAUAAUCCUUCUUGGUUUUAAGUCACAACAUAUUUGUGUUGGUGAGGCUGUGGUGAAAUAGAUGCUUCCAUACGUUGCUAGAGUGAAUGUAAAAUGGUGCAAGUCUCAUGAAUGGGAAUUUGACAUAUCUAGUAAUAUUACAUAUGCAUUUUCCCUUUGAUCCAGUAAUCCAACUUCUAGGAAUCUAUCCUAAAAUAUGUUGUAAAAGUAUAAGAAGACUUUUAAACAUGAUUAUAUAUUGUGGCAUUGUUUAUAAUAGCAAAAGCUUGGAAAUUGGUUGACUAUCCCAAUGAAAGGUCCACUCAGUGGAAUAGUAUGCAGCUAUAAACAAGAAGAAGACCUCUGUAUUAGUUUGUUUUCGUGCUGCUCAUAAAGACAUACCCAAGACUGGGCAAUUUAUAAAAGUGGUAUAUAAUGGACUUACAGUUCCACGUGGCUAGGGAAACCUCACCAUCAUGGUGGAAGGUGAAAGGCACAUCUCACAUGGCAGCAGACAAGAGAAGAGAGCUUGUGUGCAGGGAAACUGCCCCUUUUAAAACCAUCAGAUCUCAUGAGACUCAUUUGCUAUCACAAGAACAGCAUGGGAAACACUCGCUGCCAUACUUCAAUCACCUCCUACGACAUGUGGGAAUUAUGGGAGUUACAAUUCAAUAUGAGAUUUGGGUGGGGCACAGGCAAACCAUCUCCACCUCUAUAUAUUACCAUGAAGUGAUGACCCCAAUAACAUGUUUAGUGAGAGAAUUUAUGGCCCUUGUGUAUGUUUUUUUUUCUUUAUCUGCAUUGAACAAACCUUACAUUUACAGUUAGAAAAAUCAUAUUUUUUUUAUCUUGAAUUACCCAGAAUCCCAUGAACGUCUUUUUCCGGAAAGUUUCUCAGUUGAGAACUUGUGAAAUCCAAUUCAUUUAUAUGUUAAGAUUUGUGCUAUGGGAUGUUGAUGGCCUGGUGAAAAUGACCCAGUCUGGCAUGAUGCUUGCCUCUAUUUGAAAGGUGUAGGUUCAGAAAGGGGAGUGCUUCAGAGGCUGCCACAUCCCUCUGAAAUAAUCUGCAGGUUGAACCUGAUGCCAUUAGGCUGUUAGGCUGCCUAGGGGAUGGUUUCUGGCUGGAUUAACCAGAUUUGCCAUUGGCAGGUGGGAGAGCUGCACCACCAGAAUUAGGUUUGCUACUCCAUUAAGCUUUUGACCACGUAAUUUAAACCAUAUUAUUAUUUCCCUAAUAGGCAAUACAUUUGCAUUUUAAAAUGCGAAGAGUAUGAAAGGAUAGGCAGUGAAAUGUCUUUUUAUCAUCUGUUUCCCCAGGCAUGCAGUUUCCCUCUCAAAUGCAACUAAUCUGAUAGGAGCAUGUGGAAAGAAAGAGGAUGGAAGACAAUAAGGCCAAUAUUGGGAAGGUUACAUUUGAGGAGAGCUGGGGUUCAAACAUUCUAGGGCACUGGGAGACAGCAUAAAAUUCAUCCUGUCUUGAUUUUAGAUGAUUCGUGUGUGUGUAAAAAAAGGGAGGAGACCUUUUAUAUAGUAGCAGCUGGCUACCCACAUUGUGUCACACCCCGCUUUUGUGUCACUUAAUAUCUCUUGGUAAUUGUUCCAUAUCAGUGCCCAAAAACUUCCUCAUUCUUUUUUUUUUUUUGCAACUGUUCAGUUUUCUAUGUAUAGUUACAUCAUAUUAUAUUUAACCCAUUCUUUACUAGUGUCUGUUCCCAUUUGUUUUUCCAUUUUGAGCACCAGACUUUAAAACUCAUUCAUCUAGGACACACAAAGGAUUUUGUUUCCUAUGAGGAGCUCCGUGGCUCCCCGACUUGCUCAACUGUUUUAAACCCCCACCCCACAUGGAAUAAGCACACUUCACCCUUCUCUCGCAACAAUUAAGUCAACUUAUCUUUGAAUAAGUAGCUGGGGGUGGGGAGGACACACCCCUGGAGUGUGGGUUUAGGUUUGCUUGAUUGGGGCGUGUACCUGGGUGGGUGGAGCAGGAUGAAGAGCUCUUCAUUAGUGUUUCUCAUGUUUGAAGUCAGAUCUUCUUCCCUAGCUGAGGCCAGAGUCUUCAAGUUUCUAACAGGAGCUUCUAGAGUCACUGAAUCUUUCAGAGAACAGGUACAAAAACUCUCAGCUGGUGUAAGAGCAGAGGAAGCGCCUUUACAAGGGGCUGCUUGGAAAUAGGGGCAAGCUACUAAAUUAGUGUGCAAACGCAGAAAAGGGCCCAGGGUAUUUUUAAACCUCUUACAAAUAGGAGCAAGCCCAAAUUUAACAUUGGCUGGCUUUUUAAUGUGGCUUUCUUUUUCACCCACCUUCCCUUCAAAGGAGUGCUUUUUUCUUCUUUCUGCUGAAAUACAAGGGCUUAGGGAGCAACUACUCAGUUCCAACAAACAGGGCAAGUUAACACUUGUAAGAGCAACACCCAAGUAGCAAAGGAAGCCGAGUUAAAAUAAAACCACACCUCCUUCCCCUCAGGGUGACAAAGAUAACCAAACCCAGUCUGGCCUCUUUGCUCCAGCAACAAGCAGGCUGAAGCAAAGGGCAACUGGGCAGGAAGGAGGAGGCGGAACUUGGGGUCAUCCAUACCUGCCCAAUUCCCUUGCUCCCCUCUGCUCCUGCCUCUCCAAUUCCCAUCUCCACCCAGAGCUGGUCUAAUGCAGAAAAGUGAGGAGAACUCGCUGUACCCAUUUCUCUUUCUAAAUAUCUCUUUAGCCAAUUUAAACCUUUGUUCUUUCUUCCCCCAAAACAGUUCUCAGAAGGAGUUUGGUACUAUAGAAUCAUCUAAACUAGAGAUAAUUAAUAAUCUUUAAUGAAUUGUUCCUUCUAGAAAUAUUCUUAUCCUUAAGCCAAAUAAAUGAUUGUAAAGGUCACAGGGCACUUCAGGCAUCAGUGAUUUCACUAGUGGGAGGUAGUGUCGGUAGAACUCUAGUAUGCUCUGGACACUAAAAUCAUAUCCUAUGAUCGGUUAUCCCACAUAUGCAAAACCACAACGGUCUACACCUGUAAACACACUUAAAACACUCUUUCACUGUUAAACAACCUACAUUUCUACACUCCUUAGCAGAAUAGCUUGAGUGAAACCUGAAUUUACAUGCAGUUAUCAAGGCCAGCAGUGUAGAGCAUCGCUCACUGCAAUCUAGGACAGCUCUGGUCCCCAAGCCCAGAGAUUUAGGUAGUAUAUGGUCAGACCAUUGAGCUGAGUGCAAAAGCUUGGUGAUACCUAUCGACAUACAAAUAAUCAUCCAUUAUGUUCAUUUAUUUAUUUAUAUUCACAAUUUUAUUUGGCUUGAAGAUUGGUGCUGCCUAUCUGGGUCUGAAUCUGUAUCUAGAUUCAGAGCCUGAUCUGUGUCAGCCUCUGUAUUCUGGAAGCCCCCAGUUUGGGAAAGAGACCAUGCAAGGUGUGCUCAGGCCCUGCCCUGGCUGAUUAGUUCCUGCAAGAAAAGCUUCCCUGACUUUAAUCCCCAGGACUAAUUAACUUCAAGAGUUGGGAUGAGAAGGCACUCAAACCGUAAAUGUAUGCAAAGCAGCAGCAAGCAGAUUAGAAGAACCCAGCAGUUUAAAAGUAAGUCAGCCUGCAGAACCUCUCGUGCAUCUUCCUCUGCCCUUGUCUGGAAGCCACGUUUCUGCAGCCUGGCUCUCUGUAGCUGUCAAAACCCCAAACUUAAAGCUAUUGGCUCAGUGAUUAGACUCUGGGUUUUGGGGUCAGGAAGUUAGCUUGGGGAGGUUGGCGGUGGGGGGUAAAUUUUUCUGCGGUUGUCUGAGCAACUGUGGAAGAAUUGUUUGAUCUUUGCAGGAUUUGAAAAUACCUUGCUGCACCGUCAGUGGCCUUUGGUAGGCUAUAGGCCACGGCUGGGGAAUGUUUUACUUGCCUUUUAAGAAUAGGACACUGGGUCAGCUAUUUAACAUUCAGAGGGGCAGCACCAAGGGACAGAUAAAUGUCUGAUGCAAAGAAGGGUAAUGAAAGGAGUCUAGGCCUUCAUCAUGCCAGCUCCUCCCCGGGCUCUGGAAGAUCCUGAGAGUUUCUUCUAGUGUUCAGGCUUUAAAUCAUCCAAGAUCUUUUAAGCUCUGACUGUGAAAAGCUCCAGGGGAAAUCAAUGGACAGACCCUAGAGCGGUGCCACUGAAUCCCAUUGUCCAAAGGAAAGAUUUUACUAACCAGCCAUUCUAACAGGGGAAACUAUGGCCAGUAGAAACAUCUUCUCAGAGAUCACUCAAGAAAAGCAAUAGAUGAAGCCAAGUCUCUGCUUGGGAGGUGAGAAUAAGUGCAUCCUUUCCCUAAAACCCAGUGGUGUAGGCACUCUUCCCAAUGCAUCAUCCUUCUUAUGGCCCCUACAAUAUAUACAGAGAUCUUUAGUAAUUUCUUUUUUUUGCGGGGGAGGUGUAUUAAUAAUGGCCAAUCAAUAUUUCAUUUAAACCUAUGAGUAGGUGUGAUGUGGUAUGGACAAGAAUGUGUAUUUAAAGUGGAGACCUCUAUAAAUAUUUAUUAAGUUUACUUGUUCUGGAUCUGAGUUCGAGUCCUGGAUAUCCUUAUUAAUUUUCUGUCUCAUUGAGUCUAAGUCUCUAUGUAUCUGGGUGUUAGGAUCGUUAGCUCUUAUUGUUGCAUCGAUCCUUUUACCACUAUAUCUUUUUUGCUUUAAAAUCUAUUUUAUCCGAUACGAGAAUUGCAACUCCUGCUUUUUAUUUAUUUAUUUAUUUUUGCUCUCCAUUUGGUUGGUAAAUCUUUCUCCAUCCCUCUGUUUUGAGUCUUUAUGUAUCCUUGCAUGUGAAAUGGGUCUGGAUAUAGCAUACAGUUGGGUUUUGGCUGUAUCUUUUGAUUGCAGGAUUUAGUCGAUUUAAAUUUAGGUUUAUUGCCAUUUGAUGUUAACUGGCUGUUUUAUCCAUUCAUUGAUGUAAAUUCUUUAUGUUGAUGCUCUUUACUUUUUGGUAUAUUUUUAGAAAGGCUAAUACUGGUUGUUUCUUUCUAUGUGUAAUGCUUCUUUCAGAAGCUCUUAUAAAGCAGGCCUGGUGGUAAUAAAAUCUCUGAAUACUUGCUUGUUCAUAAAAGAUUUUAUUUUUCCUUCAGUUGUGAAGCUUAGUUUGGCUGGAUAUGAAAUUCUGGGCUGAAAGUUCUGUUCUUUAAGGAUGUUGAAUAUUGGCCCCCACUCUUCUGGCUUGUAGAGUUUCUGCUGAGAGAUCUGCUGUAAGUCUGAUAGGCUUCCCUUUGUGGGUAACCUGACCUUUCUCUCUGGCUGCCCUUAGUAUUUUCUCCUUUGUUUCAACCCUCGUGAAUCUAACGAUAAUGUGCCUUGGGGUUGCUCUUCUUGAGGAAUAUCUUUGUGGUGUUCUCUGUAUUACCUGGGGUUGAAUAUUGUCCUGCUUUGCUAGUUUAGGAAAAUUUUCCUGAAUAAUAUCCUGAAGAGUAUUUUCCAGCCUGGAUUCAUUCUCUCCAUCACAUUCAGGUAUACCUAUCAAACAUAAAUUAGGUCUUUUCACAUAGUCCCACAUUUCUUGGAGACUUUGCUCAUUCCUUUUUAUCCUUUUUUCUCUAAUCUUGUCUUCUCGUUUUAUUUCAUUAAGUUGGUCUUCGACCUCUGAUAUCCUUUCUUCUGCUUGAUCAAUUUGAGUGUUUAAGCCUGUGCAUACUUCUCGGAGUUCCCAUAUCGUAUUCUUCAGUUCCAUUAAUUCACUUAUAUUCCUCUCUAAAUUGUCUAUUCUCAUUAGGAUUUCGUCAAACCUUUUUUCAAAGUUCUUAGUUUCUUUACAUUGGGCUGCAACAUGUUCUUUUAACUCACAGAAGUUUCUUAUUAUCCAUCUUCUGAAGCCUGAUUCUGUUAAUGGGAUGCGCUGGUUCUCUAUCAAGCCUUGUUCCCUUGUUGAUGAGGAAUUGUGAUCCUCUUUAGAGGGAGAGGCAUUCUGAUUUUGAGUAUUCUCAGCCUUUUUAUGCUGGUUUCUUCCCAUCAUUGUGAAUUUAUCCACCUGUCGUCUUUGUAAUUAACAACUUUCAAAUUAGGUCUCUGAGUGGACGUCCAAGUUGUUAAUUCCCAGGGCCGAAAUAUGAGCCACCCACUGCGCCGACCAAAACAGUGGCGUUAAGACUGAUGGUGCUUUUCUGCCUGGGGAAUCUCCAGUCUGGCUUCCUUCUUGAGUCUGUAAUAGGCAACUCUGCCUUCCCAGAGCUCCAAAUGUCGGUCAGAAGGGGAACCAGUUCCAUUUACUCUGCACCAAGAGCUGCCGUGCCGAGGUGCCGGCAAAACUGCUGCGCCGGCCACAAGAGUCAUGCUGGUGACUGGUGGGGCUCUUCCACUGGGAAUCUUCUGCUCUGUGAGUGACAAAAAUUUGUCUGAAAGUGUGGCGUCCUCUCAUUCUGUGCGCUUUCACUGAGAGCUACAAUCCUGAGAUGUUAGUGAUCAGCCAUCUUGGAUCAGUAAUUUCUUUGUUAAAUGAAAACAUAAUGGAGAUGUUUCAGAGUGAUGGGUCAGCAUGCAAACUCAAUGAUGUCCAAGAAGGACUCUUCAGUGCUUUCAAGAGGACUGAGACACAGGGAAGCAGGAAAACAGGCUACAACAACCCAAGGGGGAAAUCAGAGAAGGCCUGACAUCAGGACUGAGAAAGCUGGCUUCAGAGAGGAGAAUGGCACAGUAGGAUUCCCUAGGGGAGAGCUCCUCAGGACUUAGGGAAGCAGGGGAAACACUUCUUUCAAUCUUUAGUGAAUUAGGGAUUUCUAGAGCUAGAAAGGGGAAACUCAGAGUGGGCACAAUGGCUCAUGCCUAUAAUCCCAGCACUUUGGGAGGCUGAGGCAGAUGGAUCAUUUGAGGUCAGAAGUUCGAGACCAGCCUGGCCAACAUGGUAAAACCCCAUCUCUACUAAAUAUACAAAAAUUAGCCAGGCAUGGUGGUGUGGGCCUGUAAUCCCAGCUACUUUAGAGGCUGAGGCAGGAGAAUCACUUCAAUCGGGAGGUGGAGGUUGCAGUGAGCCAAGAUCACACCACUGUACUCCAGCCUGGGUGACAGAGACUCAUUCUCAAAAAAAAAAAAAAAAAAAGAGAACACUCACACCUCUAGAAACUAAAGGAAUUUGACAGCAUAGUUUUACAUAGGACUGGAAAAUAGAAGCAGGACUUGAAUGAGAAUUUUCAAUUCUGAGGAUUAGGUUCUAGACUGGUAUAAUUCAACAGAACUAUUAAGGCCCAGCAUGGUGGCUCACACCUGUAAUCCCAGCACUUUCGGAAGCCAAGGCGUGUGGAUUACCUGAAGUCAGGAGUUCGAGACCAGCCUGGCCAACAUUGUGGAACCCCAUCUCUACUACAACUACAAAAUUAGCUGGGUGUGGUGGCACAUGCCUGUAAUCCCAUCUACUCAGGAGGCUGAGGCAGGAGAAUGGCUUGAACCUGGGAGGAAGAGGAGGUUACAGUGAACUGAGAUCAUGCCACUGCACUCCAGCUUGGGUAGCAAGAGCAAAACUCUGUCUCACACACACACAAAAAAUUUAAUUAUAAAUUAGAAAUAUUAAUAGAAUGGCAGCACACAUAUACAAGUUUACAUUUUCUAAUAGCCA